AUGAUUGUUAAUUGUGCUAAGGUACAGGUGGCACAAGUAUGGCUACUUGUGCUGCAUUUCUACCUUCAUCUUGUUAUCUGGACCUACCCUAGGAAUAUAUAUGGCUCAGAAGACUGCACAAAGAUUAGAAAAGAGGUGUAUGCGAUGAAUACAUGCCAGGGUCAGAUUCAGCCCUGUUGCAAUUUAAUUGAUUUCACUGAAGUUACAGCAGCUGUGAAUACUUGCUCAAUUUGAUUGAGAUAGUGAGAAACAGCAGAAGAGGACAAAGAAAGGAAUGAAAAGUGAAAGAAUGAAAGAAGUCAGAAAAAACAGCAAAGUCGUAGAAAUGUUCAACUAGGAGCGGAGGAGGGCUAAGAUAUAAAAGGUACAGCAGCAAAAUUGCCUUCUGAAAAGAGCUAUUUGGUGCACUGACUGCAGGAAAUAGAAGGUAGCAGAGAAAGCUCACAGAAACAUGGUGUUGUUCCCAAAAGCUUCUAAAAAAUAACUUACAUGUCUUCUGCUUUUGACUAGUUUUGGAAGAGCAUCAAUAUGUACAUGCGAGUCUUCUACUAGAGAUGGGCAGCAUAAUUGUGACUGAACAUGUGCAUUUAAUGAAGUUACCAAGUUGUCCUUGGUGUUUGCCUUUGCAUGCAGCCUAGGCUAGGUUUUUCAGUGUGUGUUUUUCAAGGGGGAAGCUUUUGAAGAACUUCUACCAGUAUAAACCUGUGAAAUCUGGAAUUUUAAUACUUCAGGGUAUUUGUAAAAGUAGUUAGUACUGUAAGCAUCUUUUUUUGUAAUAGUAUGAUGUAGAGUUUGUAGAUGGAAAAUCUGGAUUUUAUCUCUAAGCAGCGUUCACUGUGAAAGCCAAAGCUCUUGAGUCCAGCUUCUGAUUACGUUUCUCCUUUGAUAAUGCUAGACUAAGCAAACUUUUAAAAAGCUGCUCUUCUCUUCUUACUGUUAACAGAUACUGGAACGAAUAGCAAAAUGAGAACAUUCUGUAUCCUAUCAAAAGUUGUUAAGAGUUGAAAACCAGUAUAAAAUACCCUCAAACUUUAAUUAGUUUUCCAACGUGGAUGUUAACUUCAACAACUAAGUCUGUUCGUAAUCCAUCAAAAACUCACAUUUUGACAUACUGAAUCUUGGAGCUAUUUGGCCUUAACUUCAUGGCUCUGUCCCAUCCGUAGUUACAAUUAAGGGAAAACUAUUU
This 1186-nucleotide long non-coding RNA is filed under the name Dromaius novaehollandiae (emu). RNAcentral describes it as "lncRNA (ENSDNVG00000016436.1)". The record is from RNAcentral. Lineage: Eukaryota; Metazoa; Chordata; Aves; Casuariiformes; Dromaiidae.